AGCGAUUGUUUCUUAGACUAGCCCUCAUGGUUAUUAAAUCUAGCACAGAAUAUAUUGUAAAGUUACAUUGCUAAUUUUAUUUUGAAAUAUGAACUAUUUUAAGCUUUUUGUCAAAAGUGGUUAACAUCUUAAUACAAAUAAAAACCUUUUUGUGGUUGUAAGAUUUAGCUUAUGAAUCAUUCAAAUUGAAAGAAUUACCAGGUCAUUGUUAAUGACUUAGUCUAUUAAGAAUCUUAUGUAUUUUUGUAAAGGAAAAGCACUUGUAGAUAUUUAAUCAGUACAAGGUCUAUGUCUGUUUUGCAGGAAGAAAAUGCUGCUUAGAGAUUCUCUUUAAAUAUUUUUUUUAUUUUUGUGCUCCUGUAUUUUCUGUUGAUCUUUUGAAUGUUCUGUACAAAAUUGUCUGACUGUACUGUUGAGCUGGAUACAUUUUUUUUUAACUCUGGGCUUAGCUGUGUAUAUUUGACCAUGUUGGAAAUAGUAUCUUUGUUAUUAAAUUUUUGAUUGUAUAUUU
This 511-nucleotide long non-coding RNA is filed under the name Mus musculus (house mouse). RNAcentral describes it as "long non-coding RNA chr19:36460458-36460969". Lineage: Eukaryota; Metazoa; Chordata; Mammalia; Rodentia; Muridae. The record is from RNAcentral.